GCUGACGUACGUGAUGACUGAACUUUUUUCCCCAACAGAUCGACCGUGUUGAUUUUGUUGCUUAUUAAGCCAGUUUUGUCUGAUAUGUCGGC
Molecule: non-coding RNA, 92 nt
Organism: Xenopus laevis (African clawed frog)
Lineage: Eukaryota; Metazoa; Chordata; Amphibia; Anura; Pipidae
Source: Rfam